Molecule: ribosomal RNA, 450 nt
Filed under: uncultured bacterium
Lineage: Bacteria
Description: partial 16S ribosomal RNA
Rfam family: Bacterial small subunit ribosomal RNA
Source: RNAcentral
CCUACGGGUGGCAGCAGUAAGGAAUAUUGGUCAAUGGGCGCAAGCCUGAACCAGCCAUGCCGCGUGAAGGAAGAAGGCCUUAUGGGUCGUAAACUUCUUUUAUAAGGGAAAAAAUUGGGGUACGUGUACCUCAUUGCUUGUACCUUAUGAAUAAGCAUCGGCUAACUCCGUGCCAGCAGCCGCGGUAAUACGGAGGAUGCCGGCGUUAUCCGGAUUCAUUGGGUUUCAGGCGUACUCAGAAGGACUGGGUGAAAUCCCAGAGCUCAACUAUGGAACUGCCAUUGAUACUGUCAGACUAGAGUAUAGUUGACGUAGGCGGAAUGCGACAUGUAGCGGUGAAAUGCUUAGAUAUGUCGCAGAACACCGAUUGCGAAGGCAGCUUACGAAACUAUAACUGACGCUCAUGCACGAAAGCGUGGGGAUCAAACAGGAUUAGAUACCCCAGUAGUC